AGAGUUUGAUCCUGGCUCAGAAUGAACGUUGGCGGCGUGGAUUAGGCAUGCAAGUCGAGCGAGAACCAGUCUUCGGACUGGGGACAGCGGCGAACGGGGUAGGAAUACCUCGGUGACGUACCCCCCGGUCGGGGAUAGCGGCGGGAAACUGCCGGUAAUACCCGAUGAUCUGUCCAAGUUUUACGACAGGGACAGCAAAGGUGUGAUUCCGUCGGGGGAGCGGCUGAGGUCGUAUUAGCUGGUUGGUGAGGCAACGGCUCACCAAGGCGAUGAUGCGUAGGGGGUGUGAGAGCAUGGCCCCCACCACUGGCACUGAGACACUGGCCAGACACCUACGGGUGGCUGCAGUCGAGAAUCUUCGGCAAUGGGCGCAAGCCUGACCGAGCGACGCCGCGUGCGGGAUGAAGGUCUUCGGAUUGUAAACCGCUGUCGGAGGGGAUGAAAUGCAUCGGGGUACUCCCCGGUGUUUGACAGAGCCUCGGAGA
Molecule: ribosomal RNA, 485 nt
Filed under: uncultured bacterium
Lineage: Bacteria
Description: bacterial SSU rRNA
Rfam family: Bacterial small subunit ribosomal RNA
Source: RNAcentral